GUGACGGCGUGCCUUUUGCAUAAUGAGCCUACGAGUUACUCAUCACCAGCGAGGUUAAGUACUUCAGGUACGUAAGCCGAAGCGAAAGCGAGUCUGAAUAGGGCGUCAAGUUGGUGGUGGUAGACGCGAAACCUUAGUGAUCUACCCAUGGGCAGGGUGAAGGUUUGGUAACACAAACUGGAGGCCCGAACCGGUAAACGUUGAAAAGUUUUCGGAUGACCUGUGGGUAGGGGUGAAAGGCCAAUCAAACUGGGAAAUAGCUCGUACUCUCCGAAAUGCAUUUAGGUGCAGCCUCUGUUGUUUUGUUCUAGAGGUAGAGCUACUGAUUGGAUGCGAGGGCUUCACCGCCUAUCAAAUCCGGCCAAACUCCGAAUGCUAGAACAUGAAGACAGGGAGUGAGCCAGCGGGUGCUAAGGUCCGUUGACGAAAGAGGGAGAACUCAGACCAUCAGCUAAGGUCCCCAAUUAUAUGCUAAGUUGGAAUUAAAACGGGGUGGGACUGCUUAGACAGCUAGGAUGUUGGCUUGGAAGCAGCCAUUCAUUUAAAGAGUGCGUAACAGCUCACUAGUCGAGCGGUCCUGCAUGGAUAAUACGCGGGCAUAAGCAUAUAACCGAAGCUAUGGGAUUGUAGAUGAUACAAUCGGUAGGAGAGCAUUCCAUUCAGCAUAGAAGCAGUACCGUGAGGUAUUGUGGAGCGGAUGGAAAAGCAAAUGUAGGCAUAAGUAACGAUAAUGCGGGUGAGAACCCCGCACGCCGAAAGAUCAAGGAUUCCCCGGCAAUGUCAAUCAUCCGGGGGUAAGUCGGAUCCUAAGGGUAAGCCGAGUGGCGAUCCCGAUGGCAAACAGGUUAAUAUUCCUGUACUGAUCAUAACUGCGAUGCAGCGACGCAGAGGUGACACUGCUGCGUACUGACGGAAUAGUACGUUGAAACCCGUAUUCUUUGAUACCGGUAGUGAAGCACGCCGGUAGAGAUGAAAGGUGAUAGUACCGCAAUGCUUCGGUUGCGCGGAUAAUGCAGGUAAGCUGACUGCCAAGAAAACCUGCUAAGCUUCAGGUAAUGAUCAUCCGUACUGUAAACGGACACACGUGAUCAGGUAGAAAAUACUAAGGCGCUCGAGAGAUUCAUGGUUAAGGAACUAGGCAAAAUGGUCCUGUAACUUCGGGAUAAAGGACGCUCUUGUGAAAGAGCCGCAGAUAAUAGGCCCAGGCGACUGUUUACCAAAAACACAUGGCUAUGCUAAUUCGCAAGAAGAUGUAUAUGGCCUGACACCUGCCCGGUGCCGGAAGGUUAAGAGGAGAGCUCAGAUGUAAGUCGAAGGUUUGAAUUGAAGCCCCGGUAAACGGCGGCCGUAACUAUAACGGUCCUAAGGUAGCGAAAUUCCUUGUCGGGUAAGUUCCGACCUGCACGAAUGGUGUAACGAUCUGGGUACUGUCUCAACCAUGAGCUCGGUGAAAUUGUAGUUCCGGUGAAGAUGCCGGAUACCCGCAACGGGACGGAAAGACCCCGUGAACCUUUACUGCAGCUUUGCAUUGAUUUUGGGUAACAGAUGUGUAGGAUAGGUCGGAGGCUUUGAUGCUGCGUCGUCAGGCGUAGAGUAGCCGUCGUUGAAAUACGACCCUUUUGUUAUCUGAGGUCUAA
This 1637-nucleotide ribosomal RNA is filed under the name human gut metagenome. Its description in RNAcentral is "bacterial LSU rRNA". It matches the Rfam family "Bacterial large subunit ribosomal RNA", at positions 593 to 2225 of the family's 2925-position model. The record is from RNAcentral.